Molecule: non-coding RNA, 145 nt
Organism: Gossypium hirsutum (cotton)
Lineage: Eukaryota; Viridiplantae; Streptophyta; Magnoliopsida; Malvales; Malvaceae
Source: Rfam
UAUUUACGAGUAAAUUAGUAUUUUCUAUUAAAAACUGGUGUGGUUAACGAAAUAAACAAACAAUUAUAUGUAAUGUGUUACGUGUACCUUAUGCUGACUUACAAGAAUCAGUUUUUAACAAUAAAAAUGAAUGUAAUUUUCAAUA